This 30-nucleotide transfer RNA is filed under the name Panax japonicus var. bipinnatifidus. RNAcentral describes it as "partial tRNA-His". The record is from RNAcentral. Lineage: Eukaryota; Viridiplantae; Streptophyta; Magnoliopsida; Apiales; Araliaceae.
AUGUAGCCAAGUGGAUCAAGGCAGUGAAUU